RNAcentral lists this small RNA (76 nucleotides) under Xanthomonas pisi. Its description in RNAcentral is "sX9 sRNA". It matches the Rfam family "Xanthomonas sRNA sX9". Lineage: Bacteria; Pseudomonadati; Pseudomonadota; Gammaproteobacteria; Lysobacterales; Lysobacteraceae. RNAcentral also lists the same sequence under 2 other names. The record is from RNAcentral.
AUGUACCACUCGUACACUCCGGUUCCUCCGCGCCGUCCGCACCCACCUGACGACUGCUCGCUACGUUUUGUUAGCC